This 470-nucleotide ribosomal RNA is filed under the name uncultured bacterium. Its description in RNAcentral is "bacterial SSU rRNA". It matches the Rfam family "Bacterial small subunit ribosomal RNA", at positions 28 to 484 of the family's 1533-position model. The record is from RNAcentral.
GAUGAACGCUAGCGGCAGGCUUAACACAUGCAAGUCGAGGGGUAGAGGAAGCUUGCUUCCUUGAGACCGGCGCACGGGUGCGUAACGCGUAUACAAUCUACCUUUUACAGAGGGAUAGCCCCAGAGAAAUUUGGAUUAAUACCUCAUAGUAUUUUCGGAUCGCAUGAUUUGAUUAUUAAAGUUCCAACGGUAAAAGAUGAGUAUGCGUCCCAUUAGCUAGAUGGUAAGGUAACGGCUUACCAUGGCAAUGAUGGGUAGGGGUCCUGAGAGGGAGAUCCCCCACACUGGUACUGAGACACGGACCAGACUCCUACGGGAGGCAGCAGUGGGGAAUUUUGGACAAUGGGCGCAAGCCUGAUCCAGCAAUGCCGCGUGCAGGAUGAAGGCCUUCGGGUUGUAAACUAGCUUUGUUACGGAACGAAACGGUAGAGCUCUAAUACUAGUUAGUCGUAAUGUAACGGUACCGUUAA